UACAGAGGUCUCAAGCGUUGUUCGGAUUCAUUGGGCGUAAAGGGUGCGUAGGUUGUAGGGUAAGUUGGAUGUGAAAUCCCGGAGCUUAACUCCGGAACUGCAUUCAAUACUGCUUUACUAGAGUACUGGAGAGGAGAUUGGAAUUCACGGUGUAGCAGUGAAAUGCGUAGAUAUCGUGAGGAAGACCAGUGGCGAAGGCGAAUCUCUGGACAGUUACUGACACUGAGGCACGAAGGCCAGGGGAG
Molecule: ribosomal RNA, 245 nt
Filed under: uncultured bacterium
Lineage: Bacteria
Description: partial 16S ribosomal RNA
Rfam family: Bacterial small subunit ribosomal RNA
Source: RNAcentral